This is a small nucleolar RNA of Lolium rigidum, 106 nucleotides long. RefSeq annotates it as small nucleolar RNA Z107/R87. The record is from RefSeq and is a predicted model, not a curated record. Lineage: Eukaryota; Viridiplantae; Streptophyta; Magnoliopsida; Poales; Poaceae. The transcript has a single exon.
GAUGGCAGUGACGACUUGGUAAUAUUCAAGCUCAACAGACCAAAUCACAGGCCAUUCUCACAUGAGAUUGAUCUGUAUGCCGAUUAUCCCGCUGAACCGAGCCAUC